RNAcentral lists this transfer RNA (76 nucleotides) under Clostridia bacterium. Its description in RNAcentral is "tRNA-Gln". It matches the Rfam family "tRNA". Rfam says of the family: Transfer RNA (tRNA) molecules are approximately 80 nucleotides in length. Their secondary structure includes four short double-helical elements and three loops (D, anti-codon, and T loops). The record is from RNAcentral. Lineage: Bacteria; Bacillati; Bacillota; Clostridia.
UACUGGAUAGCCAAAUCGGUAAGGCACUAGGCUUUGAACCUAGCAAUUGGUGGUUCGAACCCAUCUCCAGUAGCCA